GCUUUCCUGUGGCUCAGUAGGUAGAGCAUUAUGCUAACAACACAAGAGUAGUGGGUUCAAUUCCCAGGGAAAACA
Danionella cerebrum is the source of this 75-nucleotide non-coding RNA. Lineage: Eukaryota; Metazoa; Chordata; Actinopteri; Cypriniformes; Danionidae. The record is from the annotation of a GenBank genome assembly.